This is a long non-coding RNA of Cynoglossus semilaevis (tongue sole), 349 nucleotides long. RefSeq lists it as uncharacterized. The transcript is spliced from 2 exons. The record is from RefSeq and is a predicted model, not a curated record. Lineage: Eukaryota; Metazoa; Chordata; Actinopteri; Pleuronectiformes; Cynoglossidae.
UGAAAACUUGACCUCAUAUUUAAAUCUUUGAUAUGUAUAUAUAUAUAAAAAAACACCAAAAUGAUUGUGACUGUUUUGCCAAAUUCCCUUUGACUUCUUUCCUCUGCAGGUUUUUAACACAUCAUUGGCAGAGCCUGUACCACAGGGCUACGAAGACGUCUCCGACAUUGUGCCUCCGUACAGUGCCUACUCUGCCAAAGGACAACCCGAGGGCGAUUUGGUUUACGUCAACUAUGGUCGUACAGAAGACUUCUUCCAGCUGCAGAGAGAAAUGGGCAUCAAUGUCACCGGGAAGAUUGUCAUUGUCAGAUAUGGGAGAAUAUUCAGAGGCAACAAGGUAAAAAAAAAA